GAAUCAGUACGCCGGUCAUGCUUCGGUAUGUACUAGUGUCACUGAUUCCUCCCUUCUGAUGAACCGUUAUACCAUUUAGUUGGUGUGGCGGGGAAUCAGGACUGUUACUUUGAAAAAAUUAGAGUGUUUAAAGCAAGCUCGCGCUUGAAUACAUUAGCAUGGAAUAAUAAAAUAGGACGUUUGAUCUCCUAUUUUGUUGGUUUCUAGGAUCGACGUA
Molecule: ribosomal RNA, 217 nt
Filed under: uncultured Glomeromycotina
Lineage: Eukaryota; Fungi; Glomeromycota
Description: partial small subunit ribosomal RNA
Rfam family: Eukaryotic small subunit ribosomal RNA (bases 37-217)
Source: RNAcentral